This 25-nucleotide non-coding RNA is filed under the name Cricetulus griseus (Chinese hamster). The record is from RNAcentral. Lineage: Eukaryota; Metazoa; Chordata; Mammalia; Rodentia; Cricetidae.
UUAAUGUGAGAGACUUAGAAAAAGA